CAACCAUUUCCUUCUUUUCGCAUAAUUCAUUUGUCUUCGUCGUCGUCCUUUUCACUUCGUCUUCUUCGAUCUUUCGGAAAAUUUCCAAGUUUUUGCUUUUAUAUUUCAUAGCUUGUGAUUUUAGGUAUUUUUCGAUAACCGUAAUCGUUUGUGUUAAGAUGAGUCUCCGUUUUUUAGUCUACUCCUUUUGUUUAUAGGUGAAGAUCUGAUUCCUCUAUUUUGGUAUGUUUUUCUAUGUUGUCCACGCCGUUGUUUUUGGAGACCCCUUUUGUUUUCCUCGCGGUUUAUAUUCGUUAUGUUGAUUUUACAGUUCUUUGAGGUUUCUUGAUUUCACGGAGUCCAAUAAUAUCCAGAUCGUUUUUUGCCCACUUUAGUUGAGGGGAGUUGGUGUUUUAAAUUAUUUCUUGUCUUUUUUAUUGAAUAAACUUCACUCUUUCCUUAAUCAGUAUGAUGUUCUUCUUGGAUUCUUGUUCAGCUUACUCUGCAUGCACGGUUUUGGGUUUCUUUAAUCUUUCAAGUAUUCACUGAUCUGACGGCCUAUUUUGAUUGUGUAGUCAGUCAGUUUUUGAUACGAUAGAUUUAAGCCUUAAUUCAAGCUCUUGGAUUUAUAGUUUCUGUUUAUGACUGCACUCUAUAUGUUUUAUUUCACUUUCGAUUCUUCAGUCUAGCGUUUUUCUGAUAUUGCAGUUUUAUGUUUUGUGAUUUGUGGGUCCUUGUGACUACCGGCUAAGCUUAUGUUUUUCCCCCAACUUUGAAGUGUGAAUAACGCAAGAAAAUAAAUUUUAGCUGUCUAGGAGGAGCUUUUGGAAGAAAUAUACGUCUACCAACUUUCAAGUCAGGUUAGAAUAUUAAUCUACUUCACAUACGGUAUUGAAGAGCUGCUUUUGUUAUUGAGUUAUAAUAUUGACCUUAGAAAGAAGGGUUCUACCUUUUGGCAAGCUUCAGAAUCAUGCCUGUUUCAGGACACGAAGAGACCGAGGUUAAAACAUAUGCUGGGUAGUUUAGUGGUGUAAUUGCAGGGGUGCCUAUAAAAAAAUGCGGUUUCCUUUGAUUCAUCCCUUUUCGGCUUUGUCUGGAGAUCAAUAUUUGCUCACAGAAGAAACUGAAUCACUACGGAAAGAACAUUUAGGCACUCCUCUAGGAUCUCCUCCAACCCUAUCAAAUAUUGGUAUUGCAGAUGCACCAAUCAAGAAAAGAAGGUUCCCUUCAAUUCAAUCUUCUUCAUCUUUGGAAGAAUCUUCUUCACUACCGGAAGAAAACAAUGCAUCACAUAAGGAACAUUCGAGCACAUUGUUGGGUACAACUCUUCCAAUCAGUUCUGCUGGCAUAUUUGAUCAAAUGAAAACCCUGCAUUUGAAGAAAGGAAAACAAGUUCUAAUCUUACAAAUGCUAGCUCUGUCCAAAGCAAGUCUAGUUACCUUAGCCCUAAACUUGAACAAGCAGGUCUUGCAACUCACUCAAGUACACUGGAUAUUGUGGACAGCAGAGAGAAGUUGAUUACUAGUGGAAGUUAUGAAGAAAAGCUGGGAAAGAAGAAUUCUGAACUCUUGUUGGCUGCUGAACAAAGUCUUGUACUUAAAAUAGGAGCUGAGAUUAGCAAGCAAAAUGUUCAAGAGAAGUGUAAACAAGAGAGUCAUGCAGUUCUAGAGAGUGCUGUUUUAUCUUUAGGAUUUAAAAAGCACUUAUUUCCAGCCGGGACAAGCCUUGAUGUUGAUAAUAGUUUCCAGAAUGAGAAACCAGAGUCUGUUUCGUUAAAAUUGUCUGAGCUAGGAAGAUGGUAGUUCAGGGAGUCAUAGUGGUGAUGCUAAAGCUAAUAGGGCAAAUUGUUAUCUGAAUACAACAAUGGAUGCUUGGGAAGAACCUGGUGAGGAUGCUUCUACUGAUAAGACAUCUAUGCAUGGGCUGCCGAUUUCUGAUAAUGCACUUAUGGAAAAACAUGUUAUGUGUUCAACCGGAAUGGAACUUACUAGCAGUACUCCCCAGUUCAAACUACUGUGGAGAGUCUAAACAAAAGCAUUCAUGAUUUCAUCUAGGAUGUAUGGGCAACAGCUGAAAUAUGUUGACCCUCGUAAUCUCUACUUUGCUUCAUGUCUUCCAAAAUAUACUGGAGAAUCUUCUGGAUUUGUUAAACAAAAUUCUAACUGUGCUAUUCCUACUUUGAACUUGUCAAAUGUGCAAGCUUCUGGUGAUGUGAACAUAGCUAGUAUUAGGCCUGUAAAAUCAGAAUUGUUAGGAUGAGAACGAUAGCAUGCUGAGUCAACAUGGACGUCCACUACUGACUUGUCAGAGAAGAAAGGGGAGGAAGUUAGAAUCAGUUAUGCAGAAUUAAAUUAAUUUUGAUUUAAUUAUUGCACUUUCAGUUUUAGUUAGCUAAAUAAGUGGAUCAACUUUUGAUAUGAGGUUCACCUACGUUUAGUCAGUUUGAGUCAGUUGUGCUGCCAUCCCAGAUAUGUUGGAAUAUUUUCUUAUUAUUUAUUUAUUAUAACUCUCAUCAUAGCUAGACAUUCAGAAAUAAAAUACAGUUUCCCUUGGAGAUUCUCCUACUCUGGCUAUUAGAUACUUUUAGAGUGAGAUUCUUGCUCUAAUUUAUUUAAUAGAUUUAUUUGCUUUUCCUUACCAUUCUGAGUUCCUAGCAGAGAACUGGAAACAUGAUUUAAAGGAGACUAGACCUAUUCCUGUGGGAUCAUUAGAUGGGGUCGCUGUCAAACAUAAUUAGUGGAGCAUCCCAAUGUUGAUUCUUUCAAGUCUUUGGAAGGUAGCAAUAUGAAGCUUGAUAAUCCUAGACUCGUUAAAUCUGAACCAGGUCGUGAGAAUAAUUAGGAAAGACCCAAAACGGCAGAGAGUAUAUCAGAUCAAAUGAGUAAAGAGUUGCUACGGGGAUCAGAUGACUGUUCUUCCUUAGAAAAGCCAAGGACGUUGGAAUCAUUUCCAAUUUCUACAGGUACAGCUCCACCUGUGAAAGUCAUAUGUUCAACAGAGUUGAGUACUAGAAUAGGUAUUGUAACCCAUCUAGAAAAUCAUGCUUCUGUAGAGGGAGCCUUUGUUGAUGAAAAAGCUCAAGGAGAUUGUUCAGGUGACAAGCAGGUCUCUCCAGAAACAGUUUCCAUAGCUAUGGUUGAUGUGCAAAAUCAAGUGGUCUUGGCAAAAUGGAUAUGUAACUAAUGAAGGAAACACAGAUGAUGCAGAGGGAUGUUUGUUGAAACGUAAGAAUGAGGGCCCAUCAGAUCCACAAGGCAUGGUGAAGACGGUGCAAGUGAUGAUGACAUGAUAACUUUAUCGACUGAUAUACUAGAGUAUGAUUCUCAUGGAUGUGAUUGUGAAUUAGAUGCCAUGGAUAUAGAGCAGUAUGAUGACUGGAUGAUGAUUAUAAAGAUCAGGUUCGAGAACCAGUGAAGCACUCUGUAGUAGAAGACUCUGUUUGUGAGGUAAGAGUAGGACUCCCUCUCUUUUCAAAUGUACGAGAAUUUCAACUAACUCACACAGUUUAAGAAAGUUACCUAAUCUUAAUAAUUAUAUCUGAAAUUGAAAUAUUUGGACUAAAAUGUCCUUGUAAUUAAUGUUUACUUUUUUUUUUCUUUAAUUUAGUGGUACUACGUAUUUAUGAAGGACAAUUUGGAAAAAAUGUAAUUAAUACUUCUGGAAAUUUGUAAUUUUGUUUAUAAUAAAAAGCAAUAGAACAUAGGGUGGUUUCUCUUAUAUUUGAAAAAGAGGGAGUAGGUGGUGGUGUUUCUAGCCAUUGUCCCACGUCACCUCGUCUUGAAGAAAAUGACAAUAGAAAUGUUAAUCACAACGAAUAAAUUGUGUCAAUGAUGGUAUUGACAUUGAAUCAAUUGAUAAAUCUGAUAGCAUCACUGACAAAAACUAUGUGUACAAGAGUCAUUGGAAGCUGAAAAGCCAAUUGUUGGCUCGCAAAUCAGGCUGGUAGAUCUUUUUUGGGAGGCAGAACGUCCUUAAUGCCACAGAGACAUUUAUUAUCUGACCAAAACAAUAAUGAAAGGAAUGAAGUAGAUGCCGCUCUGUGCUGAUGAGGUUGUUAUGAACUUGGACAUACAUAGAAAAAUUGACUCAGAAGUGCCAAAGAUGGAAGUAUCUGUAAAUACUGAUGAUGCAAACAAGGAUGCAAGUAAUGGUGGUAAUCAAGGAAGGAUUAUAAAUUUGUCCCGAGCAGCUAGUUCACUAUCCCCUACUAAAUCUUGGUCAGUACAAGGACGGGACUGCCAUCACAAGCUGGAAGAGCUGUGUUGCCUGAGAAAUUCCAUCAUGACAAAUUACAUGGACGAAGAUUUUCAAGAGAAAGGUAUGAAGAUGUUUCACCUAGAAACUCGACUAAAUGUGGUAGAGGGAGGAUUAAUAGGCGGAUGGUCACACAUGGGGAUGAAUGGGUGUCUGACCGUGAAUUUUCUGGGGAAUUUAUAUUGGUGCAAGGCAGUUUUGUGUCUCUAGGCAUAAAUUUGCAUGGGCUGUUCAUGGUGCUGAUUCACAGUGCAAUGAUGUUGCACAUGAUGGUUCUUUUGUUGGGGUACUAAUUGGUUAUGCAGGAGGCCCUUGAAUGAUGAGGGGCUAGUUGGUAUAUUAAUUGAGGAGACAGUGUCCUGGUGGGAGAGAGAACAUGCAAAUGGGGCGUGGAAUUCCUAGAAACUAUGAGCCCAAGUGUUAGUAUAAGCAUGGGGAGAAGUUUAUGAGAGGGUAUCCUUAGGAGCCUUUGGACCCUAUGUGUACACAUCACCAAUCAUUUGAGAGAGUAAGUGGUUGAUAUACUCAGGGAGAUAGGAACUUCAUUCAGAGAAGGGGUCCUCAACGAAUUUGUUCGAAGUCUCCAAUCAGAUCUAGGGUAGAAGAUUACGAAAUGGAUUUGGUGGACAUCUAGAAUUGGCCCAUCGACAGCCAUUAUAUAGGGAUGACAGAAUCAGAUCCCCUGAUCGUCCAGCUUUGCAUGGGAAUUGAGUGGUCAGGAGGCAUGUCUCGACCUUUGAAUGAGAUGAGGGGUAUUGAUUCUGGUUCUGGACGUGGUCGUGGUAGGUCUGUCAUAUCCAACAGGAAUCCAUCUGGUCGAAUUGUGUUUAGAAAAAGAUUUGGCGAUGCUGUAGAUUCCCGAUACAGGGCAGAUAAUGAUGACUGCUUUGAAGGCCCCCUAUGCAUUCUGGUCGGUUACUUAAGCUAAAUGGUGAAGGCAAUGGUGAUGAGGGGAGGUUUGGUGAGAGAUGGGAACCAGUUAGAUCUUCUAGGUCUCCUUAUAAUGGUAGUGUUGGUGACAAUUUUUAUCUUGAUGCAGAGGAUUGGCCUAGAUAGUGUAGAUAUUGUACUGAAGAUUCAGAAUUCCAAGAAAGAAGCAGCUUGAGAGAAAGGGAUUUUGAGAGGCGUUUCUAGAGCAGGCCAGCAAAUGGGCUACCUAGAAGAACAAGAAAUGUAGAUGAGCAGGAAGCAAGUUGCAGGGACUGUGGACAGGUUUGGAGCGAUGACGGCUUUGAUGAUAUUUCAAGAGUGAAGGGGAAAAGAUCUUAAUUGUAUGACUAGAAGUAGAAAAUAUGCUGCAGGAAUAAUCUGUGAUAUUGUACUGAAAAAUUUACAUCUAGAUCAGAUUAACACACACACACACACAGAGAUUUAUAGCAUCAUCUGUGAUGUUUCAAGACUUCUGGAUGCCUCGCUAGUAGUUCUAGUGAGAGGGCAGAGGAGCCUCCUGAUUUUAUGGAAGCACAACCUAACGCCGAGGCAUCCGGGAUAUUAUUCUCGCGAAAGGUGUAUGAGAAACUUAGACAUAUCAUAUGAUGAUUCUUUUUAUA
Molecule: RNA transcript, 5783 nt
Organism: Prosopis cineraria
Lineage: Eukaryota; Viridiplantae; Streptophyta; Magnoliopsida; Fabales; Fabaceae
Exons: 3
Source: RefSeq, a predicted model, not a curated record